GAAUAAAUACGGGGGAGCUUGUUCAUGCAGGCUGAGAGGAAGUAAUCGAACUUCGACCCUUACACCUGAUAUGGAUAAUGCCAUCGUAGGAAGUAAGAAGAGAAUGCUU
This 109-nucleotide non-coding RNA is filed under the name Roseburia sp. RNAcentral's name for it is "TPP sequence". It matches the Rfam family "TPP riboswitch aptamer (THI element)". Rfam says of the family: Vitamin B(1) in its active form thiamin pyrophosphate (TPP) is an essential coenzyme that is synthesised by coupling of pyrimidine and thiazole moieties in bacteria. The previously detected thiamin-regulatory element, thi box was extended, resulting in a new, highly conserved RNA secondary structure, the THI element, which is widely distributed in eubacteria and also occurs in some archaea. The record is from RNAcentral. Lineage: Bacteria; Bacillati; Bacillota; Clostridia; Lachnospirales; Lachnospiraceae.